GUCGUGGUAGCUCAGUGGUAGAGCAUCGAACGCGCCAUUCGAAGGUCGCAGGUUCGAUCCUGCCCACGGCA
Molecule: transfer RNA, 71 nt
Filed under: Rhipicephalus microplus (southern cattle tick)
Lineage: Eukaryota; Metazoa; Arthropoda; Arachnida; Ixodida; Ixodidae
Description: tRNA-Ala
Rfam family: tRNA
About the family: Transfer RNA (tRNA) molecules are approximately 80 nucleotides in length. Their secondary structure includes four short double-helical elements and three loops (D, anti-codon, and T loops).
Source: Rfam by way of RNAcentral